RNAcentral lists this ribosomal RNA (246 nucleotides) under uncultured Bacteroidota bacterium. Its description in RNAcentral is "uncultured Bacteroidetes bacterium partial 16S ribosomal RNA". It matches the Rfam family "Bacterial small subunit ribosomal RNA", at positions 87 to 334 of the family's 1533-position model. Lineage: Bacteria; Pseudomonadati; Bacteroidota. The record is from RNAcentral.
GCCGGCGACCGGCGCACGGGUGCGUAACGCGUAUGCAACCUACCUUUAACAGGGGGAUAAUCCGAAGAAAUUUGGUCUAAUACCCCAUAAUAUCAUUUAAGGCAUCUUAGAUGGUUGAAAAUUCCGAUGGUUAGAGAUGGGCAUGCGUUGUAUUAGCUAGUUGGUGAGGUAACGGCUCACCAAGGCUACGAUACAUAGGGGGACUGAGAGGUUUUCCCCCCACACUGGUACUGAGACACGGACCAG